Molecule: ribosomal RNA, 243 nt
Filed under: uncultured bacterium
Lineage: Bacteria
Description: partial 16S ribosomal RNA
Rfam family: Bacterial small subunit ribosomal RNA
Source: RNAcentral
GCAAGCGUUGUUCGGAAUUACUGGGCGUAAAGGGCUCGUAGGCGGCCAACUAAGUCGGACGUGAAAUCCCAGGCUCAACCUGGGAACUGCGGCUGAUACUGGAUGGCUUGAGUUUGGGAGAGGGAUGCGGAAUUCCAGGUGUAGCGGUGAAAUGCGUAGAUAUCUGGAGGAACACCGGUGGCGAAGGCGGCAUCCUGGACCAACACUGACGCUGAGUGAGCGAAAGCCAGGGGAGCAAACGGG